GAGACGCUGGCGGCGUGGAUUAGGCAUGCAAGUCGAACGGUAGGAUACCUUCGGGUAUCUGAGAGUGGCGAACGGGUGAGUAACACGUAGGUGAUCUACCCUCAAGAUUGGGACAACCCAGGGAAACUUGGGCUAAUACCGGAUGAAAGCAGCAGUGAUGUUGUUUGAAAGGUGGCGUAAGCUGCCGUUUGGGGGAUGAGCCUGCGCUCUAUUAGUUAGUUGGCGGGGUAAAGGCCCACCAAGGCGAUGAUAGAUAGGCGGCCUUAACGGGUGGUCGCCCACACUGGGAUUGAGAUACGGCCCAGACUCCUACGGGAGGCAGCAGUCGAGAAUAGUCUACAAUGGCCGAAAGGCUGAUAGUGCGACGCCGCGUGAACGAAGAAGCCCUUCGGGGUGUAAAGUUCUUUUAUAUGUGAGCAGUGCUUUCUAUGUGAACAGCAUGGGGAGAGAGAUAUUAGCAUAUGAAUAAGCAACGGCCUAACCUCCGUG
This 489-nucleotide ribosomal RNA is filed under the name uncultured bacterium. RNAcentral's name for it is "bacterial SSU rRNA". It matches the Rfam family "Bacterial small subunit ribosomal RNA", at positions 33 to 507 of the family's 1533-position model. The record is from RNAcentral.